UGGAGACGAGAUGGCCCCUGCUGGUGAGUCUCCUCCACUACUGGUUGAACCUUGGCCUGCCAGGCCGAUGAAGUCAAACUCAGUGCCCUCGUGUGAUUCCCUGCCAGGUAUCCUCAAAUCCAUCAUGAAGAAGAAAGAUGGUACUCCAGGUGCACAAUCCAGUCAGGGACCCAAGAGCCUGCAGUUCGUUGGGGUCCUCAACGGAGAGUGAGCGCUUUCUUCCCUUUCUUAUCAUAGCAGCCACAGGGACACAUGCUAUUAAUCCCAGCUCUGCCUCUCUGCUCAUAAAGUUGCUUUGAUAGCCCUUAAUUUCCUCAUCUUAAAAUGUCACUCUUACCUCAACACACUUGAAUGAGCCCACAGGGCCUCCCAUCCUAUUCUUAGGUAUGAGAGCUCCUCCAGUGAGGAUGCCAGCAACAGUGAUGAUGAAGAUGAUGUUGCUGAACUCCCCAGGAGUAGCUCUUCUGGGUCAGGAGAUGAUAGCAGUGGGGGAUCUGACGCUGGAACUCCUGGCCCCCACAAUGACCAAGAUGCGGGGGACUGUGAGCUUGAGAUGCAUCCAGAGCAGAAGACAGGGAGAGAAGGGAGGUGUGAACUGAACCCCCGUUUGAGGGAGGCUUGCAUUGCUCUGAAUCAGCAGCUGAUGCGGCCCCGUGGAGUCACCAGCAGAGAUGGUGUGAGUGUGGGUCCGACUUCUACUCCCUGACAAAGUUCAGGGUUUCCUAGAGCAGGAGUACUAAGUUUGGUCCCCUCUCACUAGAA
Molecule: long non-coding RNA, 762 nt
Filed under: Rattus norvegicus (Norway rat)
Lineage: Eukaryota; Metazoa; Chordata; Mammalia; Rodentia; Muridae
Description: long non-coding RNA NONRATT025637
Source: RNAcentral